AGGAUACGGUUAACGGAGCGAAAGCGACGUUCAACCUCAAAAGAAGCAGAGGGGGCGUAGUGGUGGGGUGACUGCGUACCUUUUGUAUAAUGGGUCAGCGACUUAUAUUCUGUAGCAAGGUUAACCGCAUAGGGGAGCCGAAGGGAAACCGAGUCUUAACCGGGCGUUAAGUUGCAGGGUAUAGACCCGAAACCCGGUGAUCUAGCCAUGGGCAGGUUGAAGGUUGGGUAACACUAACUGGAGGACCGAACCGACUAAUGUUGAAAAA
RNAcentral lists this ribosomal RNA (268 nucleotides) under Salmonella enterica subsp. enterica serovar Hvittingfoss. Its description in RNAcentral is "partial 23S ribosomal RNA". It matches the Rfam family "Bacterial large subunit ribosomal RNA", at positions 515 to 796 of the family's 2925-position model. The record is from RNAcentral. Lineage: Bacteria; Pseudomonadati; Pseudomonadota; Gammaproteobacteria; Enterobacterales; Enterobacteriaceae.